GGUGUAGCUCAAAUGGUAGAGUGCAUGUUUAGCAUGCAUGAGAUGCAUGCAGGAGGUCCUGGGUUCAAUCCCCAGUACC
RNAcentral lists this transfer RNA (79 nucleotides) under Camelus bactrianus (Bactrian camel). It matches the Rfam family "tRNA". From Rfam's summary of the family: Transfer RNA (tRNA) molecules are approximately 80 nucleotides in length. Their secondary structure includes four short double-helical elements and three loops (D, anti-codon, and T loops). RNAcentral also lists the same sequence under 2 other names. Lineage: Eukaryota; Metazoa; Chordata; Mammalia; Artiodactyla; Camelidae. The record is from Rfam by way of RNAcentral.